UCGGCGGCGGAAAAGGGCGGACGCACCUGCCUCCGGGGUCCUCGGGGAAGUCACGGGGGCGGUACCCCUUACCCGCUAGGUCUGGCCGGCUGAGGGUGAAUUUCCAGAAUUCUCAAUAACGUUAAUAGAGGUGGAAAUUAUGGCACUUCAAGAGGCUCUGAACCCUUAUUUCAGUGAUCUUGCCUUCAAAUGUGUAUAGGAAUCCCAACACCCAGCACUUAUACUCGGGUAACAGCUCCAUAAGAUCAGAGGAUGCAUCUUCUAUUCACCAAGUGUGUUACAGAAUGUUUGAUGCCUACUGAGCCUUCAGAUAAAUGCUGAAAGACUAAACCUUUCCAAGUUAAGUAUUGAGAUUAAACAUCCCCACAUUUCCUGUAUUCUGAGAUUCCUUUCUAGUAUGAAUUUCUGUGAUGGUGAAUAACAUUAACCCCAUUUAUUACUUAUUGCUUAGUUGCACCCAUGGACUCAUUGGUUAGUAAAUAAAAAACUAAAAUUAGGUUGAGAAGAAUCAAUAUGCCCUUUUAUUUUUUAAUAAAGCCUUCAAAUAGUAUUUCAACCGUAUUCUGCAGUUCUCAGUAAAUGGAUCUUGCACAUCUUCUGUCAAAUUUAUCCCCAAGUAGUUAAUAGCAUGCUCCUUUGUAAAUAGCACUUUUAAAUCGAUAUUCAAUUUUGUGUGCGUGUGUGUCUACUAUAUAGAAAUAAAGCUGAUUUAUGUUUGUUGAUCAAUCAUGAGAAACACACUUAUUAGUUACAGCAGCAUUUUUUAAGGUAGAUUUCUUUGGAUUUUCUACAUGGAUGAUCAUGUCUGCAAAUCACAAUUUUAUUUCUUUCUUUCCAAUCUGCAUGCCAUUUAUUUAUUUUCUUGUCAUAUUGCACUGGCCAAGACCCAUCAGUAUAAUGUUGGAUAGAAGAAAUGAGAUCGGAUACCCUGUUUUGUUUCUGAUCUUAGGGGAAAAGCAUAAAGUUUUUCACUAAAUAUUGUGUUACCUUUAGGUUGUUUGCUAGAUGCCUUUUAUCAUGCUGAUGAAAUUCCUUUCUAGUCCUAGUUUGCUGAAGCCUUUUAUCAGAAUUCAGUAAUGGUUUUUCUUGCAUGCUUUUUCUGGGUCUGUUGAAGUGAUAAUAGGAUUUUUCGUUUUUAGAUUGUUAGUAUGGUGAGUUGCAUUGAUUGGCCUGUGUUACACAGGCCUGUUGCAUCCUGGGAUAAACUUUACUUGGACAUAAUAUAUUAUGCUGUUUGUAUAUUUUUGGACUUGAUUGGCUAAAAUUUUGUUUAGAAGUUUUGCAUAUGUUCAUGAAGGAUACUAGUGUAUAAUUGUUUUGUGUGGUAUCUGCCUUGUUUAGGGAUCAGGUUAAUGCUGGUCUCACCAAAUGAGAAAUACUUUUUCUUUUUAAUUUCCUGGAAGACUUACAUUACUUUGAUAUAAAUUCUACUUUGUAGAAUUUACCAGUGAAGCCAUCUGAAAUUUCCACGUGUGAGGUCUAACAACCCUUUGUAUCAGGCCUAUCCAGCUUUGGAGGCUGCGUUCUGGAGAUCUUUGAACACAGCUGGACUCUCAGGAUUUUCUGUCAGCAACUUACAGUUCCUCAAUUUGUUCAAGCUUGCAUUCAACAAAUAGUUGAGGACCUAUGGUGAGGCAGUCGCUCGCCUCCUGUGAACAGGUACAUUCGAGGUUCGCCAGACAACCAGUGCCCUCUAAGUUACCGCCACCUCCCCUAGGCCACUGGAAAGGAAGAGACCGCUGAUUGCCAUGACAACUAUCUAAAUUGAACCAGAAACAUGGAAGUCUUGUAUUUGAAUGUAAAGCUAUACCAGUUCACCCAUUUCACAAACCUGUUGAGCACUUUCCCAGGUGUUUUGGGGUUUACAAAGAUAAAAGACAGUGUCUCUGACCUUAACAAUCUGGCGGAUUUCAAAUUCUCUCACGAAGCCCAUCUAAUUUAAUCCUUGAGUUAAGACCAUUCUCCGUGGUGAGAGUACAGGUGAUGGGACAUAUUCCUGAUUGCUGAAUAAACUGAAGCUCCGGAGGGCAACCUGAUUCACGUAGUAUCACAUCCAGUGAGGGGAAAUGCUAGAAGUACAUUCAAAGACUCCAUUUCAGUAAUCUUUUACAUGACUCUGCCCUGAUUUUGAGUCCAAGGGAUUCCUUCAGAAAAGAACUUAGAAGCGAUUUGGUCUAUCAGCCAACAUGUGGGAACAAUUGGAGUUUGGAGAACCUUUUUCUACAGUGAUACAAUAGCAGAUGUUGUCCAACUUCACACCUUGCAAGUAUGGUGCUGCCUACGCAUUGCCUGAGAGGAUAUAAUCAUCACCACGGUAUGGAAGGAGAUCAUUCUUUGGAGUGGACAGUUCGCGAUUCAAACACCAACCACUCACAGCUCAAAUAUGACAUUAAUUUCCACGUGCCUCCAUUUUCUGAGAAGUUCUGACGACCUACUUCGUCGAACCGGUAGAAGAGGUGAGUGAGAUAGCUCACAUAAAACUAUGUCCCUGGGCCUGGCACCCUGACCCAGGGGAGGCGCUCCAGAAAUCUUAACCAUCACCGCGCCCCCCCCCCCCCCCCGCCACCGUCACCACACACACACACACACACACAAUGAACAAACAUUUAUUGAGUACUUAUUGCUAGGGAGUAGAGCUACAGAUAUAAAUAACAUCUAAUACCUUACUCUAAGAAUUGGCUUCUAUGCCACUUGGUGGGCGAGGAGAGACUUUGCUCCCCCUAAAGUCAUCCAUUUGGAGGGAGAAAAGGGAGACUGGGAGAUGGGGAAUGGGGAGCCAUCCUUCUCCACUGCCACCUCAAGAGGUCAGAGGAAAUGGGGCCAAAUUCCCUUUUGGAUUUCAUUCCCUCCGGCCGAGUGGUGGGCUCAUGGCUGGGAACAGGAUGUUGCUGAGAGAGCUGCAUCCAAAGGGAACUCUUAUUUCCUAUGUCUUUUGUUCCCUGACAUUUUCAAUUUCCAUCACAGGAGCCUUUGCCAGUCAUCUGCUUCGCCUUUAUCCCAAAAUCAAUUUCCUGGGAAGGUGCAAGAUGCUGUGAACAUCUGGCCCAAACGCUCAGGGCUGUCCUUCCCAAUUGGGUGUUCUUCAUGUGACGCAGUGGAGUGGCAGUGCUACCUCUGCCCUGGGACAUAGUAAGACACCCGGGCCAGAGCGGCCUGGGUCUGCCCAGAUCCCCUUCUCCUUCUCCAAAUACCAGGAGCAUAUUUCCUACUUCAAUUGCCGUUUUGACCUCAAAUAAAACUAACCUGACUUAUGGUAGAAAAAAAUGUGCUGAGAUUCACUGGGGCAUGGCUCUUCCUUUCCUCCAGAGAGUUUGGGCAGAGAGCUUCAAAUGGACCUCAGGAGGACUCUUUCCAAUUCACUGUGUGCCCCCAAAAGUAGUGGCACUAAUAAAACAUCAAAGAGUAAAUACUGGUUAGUGUGUGUGUGUGUGUGUGUGUGUGUGUGUGUGUGUGUGACAGAGACAGAGAGUCAGAGAAUUAACAGCUGUCAUGAUUGCCCUGUUUCAGAGUACAGGCAUUUUCACUUCAGAAAUUUCAAAAAGGACUCCAAAAUAAAUGUGAACACGUACACUCAGAGCAACCAAAUGUAUUUUCUCAGACUACAUGUCUCCUGAGGAAAAUGUAGAGCUUUUGCUUCUGGCCAGACUGGAACCUGUCCCCAUGCCCACCUCCCUCUGCCAAAGCUUUGAUCCUAAAGAAACACUUCAGGAUUCCAAACUCAAACCCACAAUAGCAGACCUUGUGGUGGAUGUAUUUCACAUUCAUGAUAUUCCUAAUUCACACCAACUCUCUCAAACCACACUCAGUGCGAGGUACAUACCACAUGUCCAUUCCGAUUUUCCCGAUCACCAGCCCCCACCGUGCCCUUCGUAAACUAUUUUUUUAAUCAAAUUUCCUCCACAUUCACCACGGUUCAAGAGCUCCUAAAAUUUCACCUCUCCUCCAGACUAUUUCCCGCUUAGGCUGGAAACGAGGUGGAAUUUUCUCCAGCUUCAGAGUUCCAAGAUGAAUAGCAAGUUCCAAGGUUGAACACCUUCAACCACGCUGCACACGACAACAGCAACACCAAUAAUAUUUUGGGUGUAAGUGUUACCUUCUCUAAAGCUCAAAGCAUUUUUAAAGAUCACGUUCUGUGUUUGUAUAGCAUUGUUCUGGGUAAAGAGAGGAAAACAAUUGUUUUCUCAUUUGACAAGUAGCAACUGACAAAUGGCAAAUAGCAAACCCAGGGUAAGCACCAAGCAGCAUACCUGAGAUGCCUCGGUAUGAUCCAGGAGGAGGCAAGGCAGGGAGAGAACCUGAUGAGUCUCAAAAAUAGUGAUCUAUGUGUUCGGGGCCCACCGCUGCCUGGGACACUGUCUUAUCUCAGUUGUUACUGUUUUUUACGACUAUCGAUUUUGUUGUUGUUGCUGCUGUUCCGAUUCUCAGAUGGAUGUUUAAAUUGUCUUCAAAUAUCCCCUCGUUCCCAUCAUUCCUCCCUCCAAACAUACACACACACACACACACACACACACACACAUAUAUAUAUAUAUAUAUAUAUAUAUAUAUAUACACAUAUCUAUUUCCCCCACCAGACUGCUAGGGCUGUGCCUGAAAUUCUGGAGAUGAGGGUUGGAGGUGAGGGAGAUUUCCUGCUUUCUCCUCCUCUGCCCUCUUCUCUUCUCCUGGGAAUGAAGGAAACUGAUAUUUACUAAUUGUUUACUGCACGAUGUAUUUCAUUUCACUUAACAAUCAUAACAUCCUUACUUUGGUAUUACCUCCCUGCAGAAGGAUUAAGUGGAUUCUUUAUAUUCUCACAGUUUGUAAGAUGCAGGGCUGAGCUGUGAACCCCUGGCGUUUCACCCCUUCGGGUCUCUCAAUUCUAAAAUCCAGACAUUAUUUCUCCUUUUUUCCCUUGUAAGUUUGUUCCUGAUGUUCAUUUUAAACAUAUUUAGUCCAUACUAAGCUCUUUUGGGUAGAUGCUCAAAAAAUGGGAUCAAAUGAGUAUCUUUAUCCUUUUAUGGACACUGAGACUUUAAAGUUUUGUUUUGUUUUCUUUUUUGGUUUUCCUAAACAUUUUCUUUUCUUUUCUUUUUUUUUUUUUUUUUUUUUUGUUUUUUUUGUUUUUUGUUUUUUGUUUUCCUAAGCAUUAAGCUGGCUGAGUUAACAUUCUUGUUCCAAAGGCUGGGACUAAGAUAAAAGCCAAGAGUCUGAUUUAUUUCUUCAGGGAUUCAUUCAGAUCAUACAAAGCUAUUCAUUGACUUGGCCUUUCCCUCCCAAAGACCCUAAUUUAGAGUGAUUUGAUUUCAUUACUGGUGAUUGGAAGAGUUUAUUGCAUAGAAACAAACUAUACGUUCCCUUGGAGAAAUAUGAAAGUCGUCACCAGCUGAGAUGACCCAUGAAUAAAACGGGUGAAAAGUGUUCUAAAGAGGAAGAAUCCAUAAGAGAGAUUAUUUUUAGAGAAAGAAAGACGAUUAUUGGAGGUAAUAACAUGUCUUAAGCUAGAUAUGUCAUUUGGUCUCCUUAGAUAGCUUCUGCAGGAUGGAAAAUACAUUUUGUUUUCUCCCUCAAUCUGACACACAUCAUCAUUAUAGAAAAAAAAUUGCGUAGACUAAAACACAAACAGAAUAAACACACAUAAUUCCACCCACCCAGAUAGAAUGACAAAUAGACACUGUGAUAUAUGAACUUCCAGCCAUUUCCUGCACACAUAUAAUCUAACAGAAAUAAAAUCAUGGCAUACCGUAUCUUUGAUACUUGCUUUUUUCCCAUUAAAAUGAUGAAUGCCUACUAAUAUCAAUAAGGAAACAUUUAUAACACAAUAAUUAAAGGCCUGAUAGUAUGAUAUGUUAGUUAUGAUAGUAUGAUAGUAUGUUAUCCCGUGAUUUACUUAACCUGUCCUUUAGAAUUAAGCAAUGAGAUUAUUUCCAUCUUUCCAAUUUUAAAUAAUGAUACACAGACUGUCCUACAAAAGCCUUAACAUAAAGGAAAAACUGGGAGAUGGUAACCCAUGUUUGGAAGUGGAAAUGUUGAUUAUAUUAAAAGUAUAAAAAAAAAUUAAAGUUUUUGAUAGAUGUUACUGCAUUAUUUUUCUAAAAAUUAUAUUAACAUACAUAGCAGGGUCUGACUGCAUCCAUUUUUCUAAAUCCACUGAUUGAUAGAAAUAAAUGUUAUUUCAUUGUUUUAA
Molecule: long non-coding RNA, 6163 nt
Organism: Leopardus geoffroyi (Geoffroy's cat)
Lineage: Eukaryota; Metazoa; Chordata; Mammalia; Carnivora; Felidae
Exons: 7
Source: RefSeq, a predicted model, not a curated record